GUUGAGAUUUCUUAUGAAAGGGUAAAUUCCUUACUUGUAACUAAACAUAUUCCUAUCCAUUCCCUUUAUAUUGCUUCACUAGUGUGUCUUCUUUCAUUUUGUAUAUGCCUUUUGGUGCUUAUUUGAGAAAUUAGUAAAUAGAUCUAUCAAGAGGAAGAAAUUGUCUUUCUGGUUUUCAACUUGUUUAUCAAUCUGAUAUUCAAAUAAUUUGAUGGAUAGCUUAACUGGUAAGUCUCUAUUUCUUUCAUUUUGUAUAUGCUUUUUGGUGCUUAUUUGAGAAAUUAGUAACUAGAUCUAUCAAGAGGAAGAAAUUUGUGUUUAUAUAUAGUUCACGAGCUACAUGUGCGUUGGUCGUCGAUCUACACAUAUAUUUUUAUGUUCUUUUUAAUUUACAAGAAUAAUAGUAUCAUCUAAAAAGAAUGAAAAAAUAGGAAUCUUGUUUAAAAAUAGUUUUCUUGAAUUUUCUAGUAUGGUUUGAAUUUUAUAGAUUUUAUAUACAUAUACAUAUAUACAUAUAUAUAUAUAUAAACAUAUAUACAUAUAUAUACAUAUACAUAUAUAGGGGAUGGAUCAUGAGAAAACUAGUUUAAAUGAGAAAACCAAAAAACUAACUAAAAAAAGCCUAAAAACCAUUUAGAUGUAGUUAGUUUUCUAGUUUUCCCAUGUAAAUGUAGUUAGUUUUCUAGUUUUCUCAUAAAGAAUUGAUAAAACAAAAAAAAAAAUGGUAUGUUUUUGGCUUUUUUUUAGGUUUUUUUAGUUAGUUUUAUAGUUUUCUCAUUUAGAUGUAGUUUUCUCAUGAUCCUCUCCCUACAUAUAUGUAUGUAUAUAUAGAAAAAGUAUAUCAUACAAUAUGCCUUAACGUACGCGAUGGCAAAAUUGCACGUUAUGUUACCAAAAAUGAAAAUCGCAUGUUGUGAAAAACCAAAUAUCGCAUAUUAUAAAAAAAAAAUUAAAUUUGCAUGUUGAAAAAAAACCGCAUGUUAAAAAAAAACCAAAAUCGCAUGUUCAAAAAAAAUUGGAUCCUGAUACUGCAUCGCGUACGUUAAGGCGAUUUGUACAAUAAUCGGCCUCUCUAUAUAUAUUUAUAAAAGUGUAUGGUACAAUAUGCCUUAACGUACGAAGCGUACAUAAUGUCAAAUUCGCACGUUAUAACAAAAAGUCGCAUGUUGUAAAAAUAGAAGAUUGCAUGUACAAAAAAAAUGAAAAUCACAUGUCUAUAAAAACCAUAUUUCGCAUCUUAUUAGAAAAACAAAUUCGCAUGAUAUUAAAGAAUACCAAAAUCGCAUGCAUGUAAACCAAUUUUCGCAUGCUGAUAAUAUUUCGCAUCUCAUUCCUGAAUACCAGAAACUACCCAAGGGUGGUGGAUGGAAUGAAUUUGAUGGAAUAAAAUGCCUUAUGUAAUGGGUGAUUCCGUUACCUUGACCAACCAAACACGUAUUUUUUUCAUUACCUUGUAAUAGUGCAUUCCACUCCGCUUAUCAUUCUUGCACACAAGAUACUAACUUAAACUUACAUCAGUACCUAUCAAUCAUAAUAAUAAAAAGAUAAAUUAUUAUUAUUAUUAUUAUUAUUAUUAUUAUUAUUAUUAUUAUUAUUAUUAUUAUUUAAGAAAAAAAAGGCAAGAAUUAACUUUAUUUUACUUUCCUUUCAAUAUGUGCGUUAAGCAUAAUAAAAGUCUAUAAAUGAGUGAUGUGGAAUGAAGGAAUCAAAGGAUGAGUUUGAAAGGAAUAUUGAGAUCACUUAUGAGAAGGUUAAUUCCUUUCUUGUAACCAAACAUAUUCCUCUUUAUUCUUUUUAAGUUGGGGAACUACACCAUUAGUGUGUCUAUCUACUACUCCAUUAGUGUGUCUCUAGUUUUCAGCUUGUUGAUCGCUGAUAAUCAAAUAAUUGGAUGGAUAGUUUAGUGCUUAUUGAGAAAUUCGUAAAUAGAUCUACCAAGAGGAACAAUUCUAUAAUAUAUAUAUAAUAUGCAUAUUGGAAUGGCAGCACAACACUUGGAAACUUUAUGUACAAUAAUUUAAAAUAUGCACACACGCACACGCAUAUAUAUGUAUAUGUACUUCACGGGCUACAUAUUCGGUUUUCACUAAUAAUAGUUACAUAUAAAAAUAAAAAAAAAAUCUUGUAUAAAGAAGGUUUUCUUGAAGUUUUCUAGUAGAGUUUAAGUUUUCUAAAUUCUCCCUCUAUAUAUAUAUAUAGAGAGAGAGAGAGAGAGAGAAAGUAUAAUGUACAAGACGCCUUAACCUACAUUAACGUACGCGACAUAAAACAUAACGUGCGUGAUUAUUUUUUUUUACCAUCAUAACGUGCGUGAUUAUACUUUCCAUGCGUGAUUAUCACCAAAAAAUGGAUCCCAUGUGUUAUUUUGUGUCUUAUGCGUGAUUAGUGCCCUGAUCCGACGGUUACUGGUGUCGCGUACGUGAAGUACGAUAAGGCUUAAUGUAUGUUAACCGCACUCUAUAUAUAUAUAUAUAUAUAUAUAUAUAUAGUGGAAGGUUCAAAUGAGAAGAUAUUUUUUGUAAGAAGAAAAAAGAAUAAGUUUCAACCAAUAAGAAUGUUUCAUUUUACUUCAUUUACUAUUUGCAUUUAAUUUUAAUGUAAGAGUAUAUUUGUAAAGUUACAUAGAUCAUUAAUAUCUAGUCUUCCUUUUUAAUAGCUAACUACAUUAAAUUUGUAACUUAUUUUCAAAAAAUAUAUAUUUUUUCAAAAAUUAGAAAAAAUUAAUUUAGAGUGUAGGAUAAAUUACCAGGUGUGCAGGAUAAAUUACGAGUUGUGUAAGAUAAAUUUAAGCAUGUGUAUGAUAGUUUUCGAAAUGUGUAGGAUAACUUUUUAUAUGUGUAGGCAAUGAAAAUUAGUGUAGAGAAUAAUAGUCUUUAUGAGUAAUUAAUUACUUAAAGAUUGUAAUAAAUGAAAUUAAAGAAUAACUAGUUAAUAUUUUACAAUUUUAUCCUAUGUUCUUUUUCUUCUCAACUAAAUUUUGUUCUCAAAUGAACCUCCCCCUAUAUAUACAUAUAUAUAUAUAUAGGGUAGGGUUCUAGAGUGAACAACCUCCCAAGAGUGAACUGUGUGAACUGAUCAUAGCCCUUGAUUAUCUUUUUUGUUGAGAAGGACAUGAUUGUAAUUGUACAUUAAGUUAUUAUUAGUUAUUUAUUUUAAUUAAUCUAUGGAAGUUACACUUUCCUAUUUUUUGUGAUUACUAAAAAUAUCUUUUUAAAUCUAAACAAGAUCUAUAACAUAAUCACCAUUCAAAACAAUCCAGAUUUUUUUUUUCAAUCGAGCAAUUCUUCAUCAAGUAUUUUUUCUUCGUCGAUUAAAAAUACCCAGAUUUCGAUUACGUACACACAUGAAUGAAUCCCGAAGUACACAUGUGUAUUUAAAUUUAAUACACCUAUGUACAUACAUAUACACAUGUGUACACCCAAUUUAUAUAGGUGUAUACACAGUUUAUACCUACGAUCAAUUUGCAUACACAUGUGUACAACAAAUGUAAAAACACCGUAUACACAGGUGUGCACCCAAUUUACAUAAACAACAGGCACAUACACACUCAACAUCAACAAGAUCGAAACAAAAUUCUUGCAAAAAUUAAACACUAAACAACUUAAUCGGAAUGUCAUACACCAGCAGAUCAAAAAAAACAUAAAAAAAGGAUAUUGAAUAGAUGUAUGGGGUAAUGUAAUACAUCAGCAGAUCAUCGUCUUCUUCAAGCCAUGGAAGUGUCCUGGAUCACACAACAGGAUCUGGUUCUUAAUCCGCAAUCGAGAUUCAUACGAGAUUUAACUGGAAGAAUAUCUAUUAAGAUAUUAUAUUUCUGUUGACUUCAAUAAAAAUCGGUUGCAGAUCCCAUUUGCGUGGAUCAGGGCAAAGAAGGUGCAAUACGUUGUGGGAAUGGGUUUCGCUGGAGAUUUUUCAUAAUCAGCGACGGAGAUCUUCGGCGGUGACUAAUCUCUCUAGAUUCACGGCGGCGAUAGGCGGCGAUAUACACAUCUUACAGGGGAUUCAAUUGGGAUACUGAUUUCGGCGUUUGUAUACUGAUUUCGGCUACACAUGGCUUUGUCUGACUCAUCUCGUGUUGGAUUUGAACCUACGGCAUCUGAUGAUCAUCAUACAACAUUGUCUGCAUACAAUCCACAUCCCGAUUCUGGUUUUUUUGGCCCAUCUGAUGUCAAUUUCAAUCCUAUUUCUGCCGUGGGUCCAUCUGAUGUUGAUGUCAAUACCUUACCUGCAGUUAAUCCAAAUGAAAGUUGCAAUCCUGUGUUUACAACAGUUGCAAAUCGACACACCUUUCAUGGGUUUGAAAUACAGACGUUUGAUUCCAUGUUUACACCAGGCAACGUAGGCUCUGAGACUGCUAAUUUACCUGAUCAAUCAUUAUCAGUUGACACUGCAUCUACUGUUUCUCGAGGAUUUUAUCAAUGGGACGGAAGUUUCAUCUCUUUUGGACUGCAUUCGUCUGACAGCAGGACCUUUGCAUGCUCUUGAUGCUGCAACACGUCCUGCAUGGGCUGCUCCGGUUUCUGCAGUUUCUGGUGCGGCUUCAUCUAUCCCGACACUAUCAAGAGCAAAUGUUAAUGGGCAAAUGCCAAAUGGUACAAACCCAAAUGUUGGUCAUGUCUAUGGUCCCGGUACGGGUCCUGGUGGAAACCCUGGUGCAUCUGCCAUGUUAACUGCUUCUACUGUGGCUAGCGGAGGUGGCAUGGGAAUCGUUCCUAGUACUCUGUUACCGAUUGAUGUGUCGUUUGUUCUUCGUGGCCCGUAUUGGAUUCGGAUAAUAUACCGGAAAUAUUUUGCGGUUAACAUGAGGUGCUUUGCGGGUGAUCAAGUUUGGUUGCAACCUGCAACGCCACCGAAAGGAGGUCCUACAGUUGGAGGUUCUUUACCCUGUCCACAGUUUCGGCCCUUCAUCAUGGAACAUGUUGCUCAGGAGUUGAACGGUUUAGACCCGAAUUUCGAUGGUGGUCAACCAUCAGCCGGACCAACUAAUUCCAACAAUUCGGCUGCGUCUCCUGGUCCGCAACUAUCAGCCCCAAAUGUCACCCGAGCAGACCCUACGGUAAUGUCUCUCCCAGGAAACCAACCCGUGGGAUUUAACCGUUCUACAAAUGCCAUGUCAGCAUCACCAAAUUCACUCUUAGUGCGCAGAGCUACUGUGACAGUUCCUGCUCAUGUUAGAGGAGAGCUGAAUACCGCCAUUAUCGGGCUUGGGGACAAUGGUGGUUACGGUGGUGGUUGGUCCAUCUGCUGAUAAUACACUUGACAGUCACAAUACACCUACAAAUACAGAACAUCAAGAGUUGCAAUUCAUUCGAUUUGUGACUAAAGGAACAAUUACGACUUCUACACCUAAUAGCACACCAUAUUGGAUACCCGAUGUUGAUGCUGCAUACAUCCCUAUCAUAAACAGUACGUUUAACAGUUGGGAGUACGUUGAAUCCAAUGAUACUGAUGAAGAUGUUGAUGAUGAUGCUAAAGACCCUGCAUAUAUAUAUGAACCUGAGUAACCUCGUAGACAUUCAUCCAGGCGUCAUAAAACAUUCAACGAUUCUUGAUUAUCCUAUAUAUAAUGACAAAUAGUUUCUAAUCAUUAUUCUUUUUGUUUACAAACAUUUUGCACUGUCUGUAUACGUAUUCAUAUGUUAUGAUUGUGAUCAUGAUACUUUGAUAUCAAUUAAAUUACUUA
This is an RNA transcript of Helianthus annuus (common sunflower), 5680 nucleotides long. It is a transcript of the gene named mediator of RNA polymerase II transcription subunit 14, with no coding region annotated. NCBI's taxonomy places the organism in Eukaryota, Viridiplantae, Streptophyta, Magnoliopsida, Asterales, Asteraceae. The record is from RefSeq and is a predicted model, not a curated record. The transcript has 4 exons.